AGUGAACGCUGGCGGUAGGCCUAACACAUGCAAGUCGAACGGCAGCACAGAGGAGCUUGCUCCUUGGGUGGCGAGUGGCGGACGGGUGAGGAGUACAUCGGAAUCUACUCUGUCGUGGGGGAUAACGUAGGGAAACUUACGCUAAUACCGCAUACGACCUACGGGUGAAAGCAGGGGAUCUUCGGACCUUGCGCGAUUGAAUGAGCCGAUGUCGGAUUAGCUAGUUGGCGGGGUAAAGGCCCACCAAGGCGACGAUCCGUAGCUGGUCUGAGAGGAUGAUCAGCCACACUGGAACUGAGACACGGUCCAGACUCCUAUGGGAGGCAGCAGUGGGGAAUAUUGGACAAUGGGCGCAAGCCUGAUCCAGCCAUAGCGCGUGGGUGAAGAAGGCCUUCGGGUUGUAAAGCCCUUUUGUUGGGAAAGAAAUCCAUCUGGUUAAUACCCGGGUGGGAUGACGGUACCCAAAGAAUAAGCACCGGCUAACUUCGUGCCAGCCGCCGCAGUAA
This 506-nucleotide ribosomal RNA is filed under the name uncultured bacterium. RNAcentral describes it as "partial 16S ribosomal RNA". It matches the Rfam family "Bacterial small subunit ribosomal RNA", at positions 29 to 523 of the family's 1533-position model. The record is from RNAcentral.